Gallus gallus (chicken) is the source of this 860-nucleotide long non-coding RNA. RefSeq lists it as uncharacterized. The transcript has 2 exons. The record is from RefSeq and is a predicted model, not a curated record. NCBI's taxonomy places the organism in Eukaryota, Metazoa, Chordata, Aves, Galliformes, Phasianidae.
GGGACUGCAGGGCGCAGCGAGUACCGCAGUGAGCUGCUUUUUCCACAUCUGUAACGUGAUCAGAGGCAAACACACAUCUACAGAGAGGUGGGAAAACCCCAGAUCUGACUGAGAAGGGUUUAAAAUGGCCGUGAAACAAUCGUCCAUUGACAGCAUCUGGUUACAGCAGAUACAACUCCCAGGGGCAUUGCCAAGGUAACGAGCAGCAUUUCUGCUGCAGGAAGAGGCAGAAUUUCAGCACAGCCCUAGCAACACGUCGGGAACGCAGAGGAGAGCGUGCUCGCUCCUCCCAGCAAUGCAGUCCCUCCUUGGCGUGGCUUUUUCCCAAGCAAUGGGCUCUCAGAGGGACAGCUCUGCUCCAAACAGUGCCCAGCAGCAGCGUGUUGCUAAGAGCCUUCCAAGAAUACACACUGCAGAGGAUGGGGCAGGGAGAAAUCCUUCUUUCCACUGAACAGGAGGAUGAGCUUUGCAUCUCAAUGGCUGCUGGGCACUGUCCCUGGGACCUGGGGGACCCGGUCACUCCUGCAGAGCCCCAGCUGAUGAGUGCAGACGGAGGAAAACGGGACAGCACGCUGAAUGGGGGCUUUUAGCUCAGCAAGGGAAAGAAACAGAGCACAGAGCCCUGGCUGGGGACCAAUCCAGGCCAGGCAGGAGUAAUCCCAGACCAAAUAUAGCCCGCGCUGCAGAUACCACGCUGGUGCUGGCAGCAGCCCCAGGCUCUGCGCUCCUACCCUGCGAGGGGCUGCAGGACCACCCCUGCACACUGCCACAAGCCUGCUUCCAUGGCUUCACAUGGACUAUUGCUUUUGUUGUUGCUUAAACUGUGUAUAAAACAAAUAAAAGGAAAAACAUACAAUUGA